This 253-nucleotide ribosomal RNA is filed under the name uncultured bacterium. Its description in RNAcentral is "partial 16S ribosomal RNA". It matches the Rfam family "Bacterial small subunit ribosomal RNA", at positions 524 to 776 of the family's 1533-position model. The record is from RNAcentral.
UACAGAGGUGGCAAGCGUUGUUCGGAAUUACUGGGCGUAAAGGGCGCGUAGGCGGUCAGGUCAGUCCCGUGUGAAAUCCCUCGGCUCAACUGAGGAACUGCACGGGAAACUGCCUGGCUUGAGUUCGGGAGAGGGAAGCGGAAUUCCGGGUGUAGCGGUGGAAUGCGUAGAGAUCCGGAAGAACACCGGUGGCGAAGGCGGCCUGCUGGGCAGUGGCUGACGCUGAUGCGCGACAGCGUGGGGAGCAAACAGG